This 1144-nucleotide long non-coding RNA is filed under the name Ursus maritimus (polar bear). RNAcentral describes it as "lncRNA (ENSUMAG00000024850.1)". The record is from RNAcentral. Lineage: Eukaryota; Metazoa; Chordata; Mammalia; Carnivora; Ursidae.
GGAAGCUUUGGGGAAAGCGGAGGAAGCAAGCCCGGGGCGAAGGGGAGUGGUGGUGCUCGCUGAGGGAGAGGAGAGACGCCACAGUCUCGGAGUUGGGACUAGAGGGAGUUAGAAUGAGGCGAAGAACACCUUUUUCCACAGCUCGGGCACUUACCGCUUAGAACUCCUUGGAAGCAAAGACUGGUUACCAUAGCGACCGCAUCCGGGAGGGCGGAGCGCUCCUUGCCAGCGGUGCCUCGGCCACAAGGGCCCGACUAGAAAUGUGGUCGGGACAGGGCAAUGACUUCCGGUGGAAGGAGAAAUCGGUUCCGGGUUUUGGCCGAGUGCGGGCGAGGUGUAGGUGAUAAAGACUGUAUGAAGUUUGCUGAUCUGAGAAGGUCCACUUCUUGUUCAAUGGAUGAUGGCAUUUGAGCAGAUACCCAAAAAGGAUUGGUACAGCAUUCUGGGGGCAGACCCAUCUGCAAGUGUGUCAGACCUAAAACAAAAGUAUCAAAAACUCGUAUUAAUGGGAAAGCACCUUCGCGUGGCUUUCUCUUCGCCUUGGCUGCCUGCUGGCUCCGCAGGUUCCAGAGAGUGUGAUCAUCAGCCGAGACGCUGUGUCCCCCUCAAGCAACAACACAGCACUUCUUUGAGCCAAAGAAAUAAAAGGAAUAAAAAUGCACUUUCCAAAGGGACUGAUCUUAGCAAUUUGAAAGGAAAGUUUCCGAAAAUCAGCAGAGUAUCGGCUGUGGAGGGAAAGUAUCUGUUUGGGGAAACGGCCAGAAGAAUUAGACCUUUCGUUUCUAUCCGUUAAUCAUUUACAAUUUUACGUCGAGGCAGAUAAACAAGCUCCACCACGAAGAGACAAGAAAGCUGGCGAGCAUCACAGGAACAUUUACAAGUUCGAAGUCUAGAGAUCAGUCUACGUAGCCAAUGUGAUCGAUUUCAAGGGUUCCGUUUCCCCCACAGUGACGGCCUAGGCUUGAAGGUGAUGUGGGGACAACAGCAUGAUUUCAGGAUUCCUCUUGCGUGGCUCUCAGCUCUUGCUAAGCUGCCAGCCCUUCUGACACUUAACGAUAGAGCUCUUUGUCUUCCACACAUUUCUCCUUGGCUUUUCCUCCAUCCUUACAAUCUUUGAUCACUUAAUCUCUUUAGUUUAAAAAAA